UGAACAAUACAGAAGAUCCUCUUUUGAGGGGUCUUCCUCUUGCUUUCCAGACUGGCAGCCUCCAGAAAGCAAUCUGCAUCGUGGAGAUGGCUCUAUGGGUAAAGGACUCGCCUUCAAGCAAGGUGACCAGAGGUGGGGCCAUCAUCAUACAUGUGAGUACCAGGGUUACUGGACAUUGAUCAUAAGGAAGGAUCUGUGGGAAGACAAUCACAAGCUGAACAUCAAGAUUAUUUCCAAUGAAAAAAAAGACCAGAGAACACUUCAUCCCAAGUCACUGACGACCAGAAACUUGUGUUUCAGAACAACAGUAACAAGAUGUAUAUAUGGAGGUGUGAAUUCCACUUCUAGAAUUAACUAGGUCAAAAGUUUUUGCUGUUGCAUCCAAAUGAACCAAGAUAAGAAUCCACCGAGCGACCUUAUCCCUCUCGAGAAGCCAGCACUCACAUCCAGAGUGUGCAGUCUUUCCUUCCUUGACUUUUUUUUCCCCUUAAGUCUAAACCUAAAACUAUGCUAGAGACUUUUCUUAAUAUAGACCUCAACCCUUCCUCAAGAUUAAAAAAGAAUCCAUAUUCUGAUUCCUUUUUAUGAAAAUUGUAGCAUCAUAGCUAGAAUUACUUAGUUUGAACUGAAAUAGGAAUCCAUACCAGGGUCUCUUUUUAGACAAAAACCACUGAU
RNAcentral lists this long non-coding RNA (675 nucleotides) under Mus musculus (house mouse). RNAcentral's name for it is "predicted gene 43507". The record is from RNAcentral. Lineage: Eukaryota; Metazoa; Chordata; Mammalia; Rodentia; Muridae.